GCUCUCUUGUGCAAGAUACGUGGGGGAAGGGGUGGGAUGUGGAGAGAGAAACAUGAGAGGGGGGGGGGGGAGUGGAAGAUACAUUAGAGUAAUUUUAGUACACUAAUUAUUAUCAUUAAUUCCCUUAAAAUGUACAUAAAUGAUAAUUGGGUAUAUAAAAUGUAAUUAUAGUAAACUUUGAGCAGAGAGGAUAAUAUAGUUUCAUAUAGUGUAUAGAAAUAUAAAAAUUUCAUAUUUAAAUAUUAUUUUCGUUUCUCAAUGUAUUUAAACAUGACCGCGUAACUACGACUGAGUUUGGGUUUAGGGUCGUGAUAAAGACCCUUGGAUGAACCGAGAAUACUUCCAUACAGUUCCUUGCAAGCUCUUCAAUAAGCCAUUAUAUUAUCUGACAUCUCAACUGCAGAAAAAAAAAAGGAGCAAUCAUAUGAAAAGGAAAAAAAUCAAAUCUCUAUAUACUGAAUCAUAUGUUCCACCCCUACAAGGUCACAAACCCAAAAAAGAAUAUUUGCAGCUCAUUUAAAGGCAUAAAUUUAAAUGUGUAUGACAUCAUGGUUAAGACUCAACUAUUUUAGAUAGUACAAUAUAUUAUCCAAUGUCACAUACAGAUCAAAUGGUUCUUUUUUGAUUUUGUGGAUUAUUUCUCCACGACUAACAGAUUGGGCUACUAUAACCUCUCUAAAAUUGGCUCCUGGUAGACUAACCUCAAUUCGGGAUUUAAAUCGAUGACUUAGGACACCAUAAAUUAUCUUAAGUGGCGACUCUGAAUUUUUAAUAAAUUAAUCACGUUUUAAUUGUCACUUUAAGUUGGAAGAAACUCCCUUAUACAUCCCUUUACGCGGGUGUAGGUGAAAAAGGAGGUGUGACAGCUCUGACGACUCUGCUGGGGACAAGAACCCAGAAUCUCUGGUUUAGGGUUCAAGAAUUUGAGCUUAGAAUAAUUGUUAUAUUUGGCUUUAUUUAUUAUCUGGUUUAUUCACAUGUUUGGGCUUAAUGUGCUAAAUGUUGCUUUUUACCGCUUUGAUAUUAUUUGAACUGUAUAUAUAAACUGUUACAAAAUCCUUCUUCUUUCUGAGUCUUCUGAAUUUAUGGUGCACACGUGCGCGUGGCCCACUUUUCUGUUAGAAGUCAUACCAAGUAAAACGAGGUUGGGUCAAGUAACUAGACCGGGUAGACUUUCGUGCUCCCGGUACGUUGCCCCCGCUUCGGCUCGAGUUGUCCGCUCGGGUAAGCCAGGUCUAGAACAAUAAAUUCAGGUUUCAAACCUAGUAUAGCAUAACCUCAUGUCGGAUCCCUAGUAGGAGCGCUUGCUUGCAUCAUGUGCAUUUUGAUUUUGGGGACUAUCUGUUAGUCGCCAAAAACUUGGUCAACUUUAUUUAAAGAACGGGCCUUCUGGAUUUGGACAUUUGGCCCAUUUAUUAGACCAGCGUAACUAUUAUUUUUAGUGUUUCUUGUUCUCAACUUUCAUGAAAAAUAUAAUUAAUAAUAAUUAAAAUCAAUACUAGAAAAUUAGAAAGGAAAACACGAAUCUGAGCUUUAUGUUCAACAAUAUAAUUAUUAUGCUCUGUUUUUGCAUCUCACUCUAUAUUAAGUUCACUUGUUUAAAUAAACAUACUAGUAACAAAAAUAAUUCUAAAGCAAAUACUCAUGGUAAAUAAAGUAAUAAUGCACCAACAAAGUUGAUAAAAGAAACAACUGUUUGACAAAUAAACAAAAAUGAAGUUACGCCUUUGAAGAAAAGAAUUGGAUAUUUUAUAUUGGAGAAUCUAACCUCUUUCUGUACAAAGGAAUGAAAAUAGCAAGAAAAAUCCCCAGCGAACCUUGAACCUCGACUGAAACUCGCUGGCACCUUCACUCGAUCUCCUCCAAUUUCAAGAACCUUGUGCGUGUUUUGCUGGGUGAAAUCAACAGCUUUUAGAGUGGUUUGAUGGGUAUUUUAUUGCUGUAUUUUUAGGUGGAGAAUGAAGCCAUUCCGGACUGAUUUUCAGUUGGAUUUUGGGCGGUUUUGGCAGCCUUUUUUGCGCUGAUUUUUGGCGGGUUUGUUGCUGUUUUUUAGCUGCUUUGUGGGUGAUUUCGGGAACUGUGGGGAGCUGAUCUUGGAGUGUUUUAAUGGAUGAAGUUUCAGCUGGUUUUCGUGGUUAUUGAAUGAAGAAGAUGAAGCUGUUUUGAGGUUAUUUUUGAAGAAGAAGAUGGGCAGCAACUGCUGCGUUUUUUUUCUCUUUUUUCAGCAGCUCCGUUUUUUCUUCUCUUUGUAAUGCUGCGCUCCUCCCCACUACAAAUCAUUUCUUCAUAUUAAUUGUAUCCACUUAACUUAGUGCCUUUUAAUUUAGCUAUUGCAUUUCCUAAACCCUACCAUUAUAGAAACUUCCUAAGUUAGGUAAACACUUCCCC
This 2388-nucleotide long non-coding RNA is filed under the name Nicotiana tabacum (common tobacco). Its description in RNAcentral is "long non-coding RNA (NTAB_LNC008744)". The record is from RNAcentral. Lineage: Eukaryota; Viridiplantae; Streptophyta; Magnoliopsida; Solanales; Solanaceae.